Molecule: ribosomal RNA, 1485 nt
Filed under: Microbacterium testaceum
Lineage: Bacteria; Bacillati; Actinomycetota; Actinomycetes; Micrococcales; Microbacteriaceae
Description: bacterial SSU rRNA
Rfam family: Bacterial small subunit ribosomal RNA
Source: RNAcentral
AGAGUUUGAUCCUUGGCUCAGGAUGAACGCUGGCGGCGUGCUUAACACAUGCAAGUCGAACGGUGAAGCCAAGCUUGCUUGGUGGAUCAGUGGCGAACGGGUGAGUAACACGUGAGCAACCUGCCCUGGACUCUGGGAUAAGCGCUGGAAACGGCGUCUAAUACUGGAUAUGAGCUCUCAUCGCAUGGUGGGGGUUGGAAAGAUUUUUCGGUCUGGGAUGGGCUCGCGGCCUAUCAGCUUGUUGGUGAGGUAAUGGCUCACCAAGGCGUCGACGGGUAGCCGGCCUGAGAGGGUGACCGGCCACACUGGGACUGAGACACGGCCCAGACUCCUACGGGAGGCAGCAGUGGGGAAUAUUGCACAAUGGGCGGAAGCCUGAUGCAGCAACGCCGCGUGAGGGAUGACGGCCUUCGGGUUGUAAACCUCUUUUAGCAGGGAAGAAGCGAGAGUGACGGUACCUGCAGAAAAAGCGUCGGCUAACUACGUGCCAGCAGCCGCGGUAAUACGUAGGGCGCAAGCGUUAUCCGGAAUUAUUGGGCGUAAAGAGCUCGUAGGCGGUUUGUCGCGUCUGCUGUGAAAUCCCGAGGCUCAACCUCGGGCCUGCAGUGGGUACGGGCAGACUAGAGUGCGGUAGGGGAGAUUGGAAUUCCUGGUGUAGCGGUGGAAUGCGCAGAUAUCAGGAGGAACACCGAUGGCGAAGGCAGAUCUCUGGGCCGUAACUGACGCUGAGGAGCGAAAGGGUGGGGAGCAAACAGGCUUAGAUACCCUGGUAGUCCACCCCGUAAACGUUGGGAACUAGUUGUGGGGACCAUUCCACGGUUUCCGUGACGCAGCUAACGCAUUAAGUUCCCCGCCUGGGGAGUACGGCCGCAAGGCUAAAACUCAAAGGAAUUGACGGGGACCCGCACAAGCGGCGGAGCAUGCGGAUUAAUUCGAUGCAACGCGAAGAACCUUACCAAGGCUUGACAUAUACGAGAACGGGCCAGAAAUGGUCAACUCUUUGGACACUCGUAAACAGGUGGUGCAUGGUUGUCGUCAGCUCGUGUCGUGAGAUGUUGGGUUAAGUCCCGCAACGAGCGCAACCCUCGUUCUAUGUUGCCAGCACGUAAUGGUGGGAACUCAUGGGAUACUGCCGGGGUCAACUCGGAGGAAGGUGGGGAUGACGUCAAAUCAUCAUGCCCCUUAUGUCUUGGGCUUCACGCAUGCUACAAUGGCCGGUACAAAGGGCUGCAAUACCGUGAGGUGGAGCGAAUCCCAAAAAGCCGGUCCCAGUUCGGAUUGAGGUCUGCAACUCGACCUCAUGAAGUCGGAGUCGCUAGUAAUCGCAGAUCAGCAACGCUGCGGUGAAUACGUUCCCGGGUCUUGUACACACCGCCCGUCAAGUCAUGAAAGUCGGUAACACCUGAAGCCGGUGGCCCAACCCUUGUGGAGGGAGCCGUCGAAGGUGGGAUCGGUAAUUAGGACUAAGUCGUAACAAGGUAACCG